AAUUAAGAAAAAAGAAAAACAUGGUAAUUUAGUGAGAUACUAUCAGUAAUUUUCUGUACCAUUUCAUCCUGUUUUCUCAAGCCUUGUCAUCAUUGUAAAUGGGAAUUGGUUCUCAACUGAUUUUACCUGGUUAAAUAAAGGUCAAAUAAAA
This is a long non-coding RNA of Anguilla anguilla (European eel), 151 nucleotides long. RefSeq lists it as uncharacterized. NCBI's taxonomy places the organism in Eukaryota, Metazoa, Chordata, Actinopteri, Anguilliformes, Anguillidae. The transcript is spliced from 2 exons. The record is from RefSeq and is a predicted model, not a curated record.